This is a non-coding RNA of Phrynosoma platyrhinos (Desert horned lizard), 72 nucleotides long. The record is from the annotation of a GenBank genome assembly. Lineage: Eukaryota; Metazoa; Chordata; Lepidosauria; Squamata; Phrynosomatidae.
GCCUGGAUGGUGUGGUGGUAUGAACGUUGGACUGUGACACUGGAGACCAGGGUUCAAAUCCCCACCUGGCCA